UCAAGUGAAUAAGAGCAUGUGGUGGAUGCCUUGGCGAUGAUAGGCGACGAAGGACGUGAUAGCCUGCGAUAAGCUUCGGGGAGCUGGCAAAUUAGCUUUGAUCCGGAGAUCUCUGAAUGGGGAAACCUGCCCAGCAGUGGGUAUCGCACAGUGAAUACAUAGCUGUGCGAGGCGAACCGGGUGAACUGAAACAUCUCAGUAGCUCGAGGAAAAGACAUCAACCGAGAUUCCGAAAGUAGUGGCGAGCGAAAUCGGAGAAGCCUGUUAGUGAUAGCACAAGACUUAGCGAAACGGUCUGGAAAGGCCGGCUACAAAGGGUGAUAGCCCCGUACGCGAAAAGACCUGUGUGGUACUGAGCUAACGACAAGUAGGGCGGGACACGUGUAAUCCUGUCUGAAUAUGGGGGGACCAUCCUCCAAGGCUAAAUACUCAUCAUCGACCGAUAGUGAACUAGUACCGUGAGGGAAAGGCGAAAAGAACCCCGGGAGGGGAGUGAAAUAGAUCCUGAAACCGCAUGCUUACAAAAAGUAGGAGCCCGCAAGGGUGACUGCGUACCUUUUGUAUAAUGGGUCAGCGACUUACAUUCAGUGGCAAGGUUAACCGAAUAGGGAAGCCGUAGAGAAAUCGAGUCCGAAUAGGGCGUUCAGUCGCUGGGUGUAGACCCGAAACCAAGUGAUCUAUCCAUGGCCAGGAUGAAGGUGCCGUAACAGGUACUGGAGGUCCGAACCGACUAGUGUUGCAAAACUAGCGGAUGAGCUGUGGAUAGGGGUGAAAGGCUAAACAAACUUGGAAAUAGCUGGUUCUCUCCGAAAACUAUUUAGGUAGUGCCUCAAGUAUUACCGUCGGGGGUAGAGCACUGUUUUGGCUAGGGGGUCAUGGCGACUUACCAAACCAAUGCAAACUCCGAAUACCGACGAGUACAGCUUGGGAGACAGAGCACCGGGUGCUAACGUCCGGACUCAAGAGGGAAACAACCCAGACCGCCAGCUAAGGUCCCUAAAAUUGGCUAAGUGGGAAACGAAGUGGGAAGGCUAAAACAGUCAGGAUGUUGGCUUAGAAGCAGCCAUCAUUUAAAGAAAGCGUAAUAGCUCACUGAUCGAGUCGUCCUGCGCGGAAGAUGUAACGGGGCUAAGCCAGUUACCGAAGCUGCGGAUGCACAGCAAUGUGCGUGGUAGGAGAGCGUUCUGUAAGCCUGUGAAGGUGUCUUGUAAGGGAUGCUGGAGGUAUCAGAAGUGCGAAUGCUGACAUGAGUAGCGUUAAAGCGGGUGAAAAGCCCGCUCGCCGUAAGCGCAAGGUUUUCUACGCAACGUUCAUCGGCGUAGAGUGAGUCGGCCCCUAAGGCGAGGCAGAGAUGCGUAGUUGAUGGGAAACAGGUCAAUAUUCCUGUACCGAUGUGCAGUGCGAUGUGGGGACGGAGAAGGUUAACUCAGCCGGGUGUUGGAUGUCCCGGUUCAAGCCUGUAGUCGUGCCUGGUAGGUAAAUCCGCCGGGCUUAGAUGAGGGGUGAUAACGAGGAAGCUUGCUUCCGAAGUGAGUGAUACCCUGCUUCCAGGAAAAGCCACUAAGCUUCAGCUACACACGACCGUACCGCAAACCGACACUGGUGCGCGAGAUGAGUAUUCUAAGGCGCUUGAGAGAACUCUGGAGAAGGAACUCGGCAAAUUGACACCGUAACUUCGGAAGAAGGUGUGCCUUUAGUAGGUGAAGUCCCUGCGGAUGGAGCCCAAUGAGGUUGCAAAAAAUCGGUGGCUGCGACUGUUUAAUAAAAACACAGCACUCUGCAAAGACGAAAGUCGACGUAUAGGGUGUGACGCCUGCCCGGUGCUGGAAGAUUAAAUGAUGGGGUGCAAGCUCUUGAUUGAAGUCCCAGUAAACGGCGGCCGUAACUAUAACGGUCCUAAGGUAGCGAAAUUCCUUGUCGG
This 1921-nucleotide ribosomal RNA is filed under the name freshwater metagenome. RNAcentral's name for it is "bacterial LSU rRNA". It matches the Rfam family "Bacterial large subunit ribosomal RNA", at positions 3 to 1975 of the family's 2925-position model. The record is from RNAcentral.